Molecule: long non-coding RNA, 1111 nt
Organism: Xenia sp. Carnegie-2017
Lineage: Eukaryota; Metazoa; Cnidaria; Anthozoa; Malacalcyonacea; Xeniidae
Exons: 5
Source: RefSeq, a predicted model, not a curated record
GUUAUAACAUUAAAAAGAAUUGCUGCAAUCUUACAUUAUGAAUGCUGUGUAAAGGCAAUAUGCAUUAUCUACAUAUUAGUGUAGGGACUGAUUUACAAGGUUUGCCAGACAUUAUAAUUAGCAGUGUAAUACGAAGAUCAAAUCAUUUAGGGGAAGAAACGACUUUUGAAAUAUCAUCUCUCUAAACCUUAUUCUUAAAGUUAUUGUGUUCAUUGUUUACUUGAUAAAAUGGUGACUUGUGCAUGGGUCUACACAUUUGUCUUAGAAUUGGGGAGAAGAAGUAAAGUGAGCACAAGAAAAAAAUAGAUAGGUCAUUACAUUUCAUCCUUGGAGAAUAAACAAAAGCUUUAGUAGAUAGCUGAAAGAGUUAUAUGAUCAAAUAAUACCAAAGCUGCCGCCUAUAGCCUAUUUUUGUGACAACAACAAUAGAAUCAAAUCCCAUGCCUGCAAUGGCUAUGGUUUAUAUAACUACAGUGAAUACGACGAGGAACAUGAAAACAACUCCUUAAUAAAGGGAAAGAUGUCACCAGGAAAAGCACUUGCGAGAAAUGAAACAUAUCGUUGUAUUCCACGAAGAAGACAAGGGCAACGACAGCAACUGCAGCGACAGACCAACCAGCAAACAUUGGAUUGGCAUAUGCGAGAACAGCAGAGACAGCAGAAGAAGCAACAGACAAACCAAAAAAAUUUUGCCAGGCAAAUUAGAGAUGGGAAAAGAAAAGAGCAACAACAGCAACCAUCUAACCAGCAAGUUAUGACUUCGUCUGUGAGACCCCCAGUGCAAGAAAAUGAUCGAGAGGAAAGAGGAAACUUGCCACAGUCGAACGAUGAACAGAUUAACCAACACUCUUUUGAAUGGUUACAAGAAAGUACAGGACGAAACGGCUUAUCGCCAGGGAUGCCUUUAUAGAUUUUUAUAAAGUAGACAUAUAUUUAAUGGCUAGAGAUUGGAUUAAGCGAUAUCAUUAUGAUGCUGGAAUUCAAUUUCUGAAUAUAAUGAUUGAAUUGUAAUUUUUUUCUUAUUCAUCAACGUCAAAAACCAAAAGCCAAUGAAAAAGUUACUGUUAGCAUUAACUUUGUUUUUAUGUUAAUAAUAUAAAGUACGUCAUCA